AUCCACACAAGCUGAAUGCAGCUUGUGGCAACCCGCCCCCCACCAGGGGGCGGGUGGUAGAGGGCGUGUACCGCCGCCACCCACGUGCCAGGGACAGGGAGCGCUCUCCAGCUGAUCCUGAUCAGCUGGAUGGGAAACACCCGGCGAGGGGAACGCGUGGAGGGGUUAAAGCCGAGUCGAGGACUCACUGGAGGAAGGCGACCCACCGACAACGCAGAAGGAGACGCACAACCCCACGACGGCUACGAGGCUCACGGAGACCCUAGCCUAGAGACACAAUUGCAUCCGCUUCUUAUCUCGUUUUUAAUAAACGCCGUGACCGGCUUUAAACUCGCCUCGAACGUGCCUACUUUCCGUGUCACCCAGCCUUCCAGCCAACCGGGUUGCCACAUAUGGUGGAGAAGGCAGGCACUCGGUACCCACUGCGACCCGCGGGGAAGUAGGCCGCCACCCUGCAGCGCCAACAGCAGAUCCAGGGGCAGGUCGCGGACUCGGCGGAGAGCCUAGCCCUGCUCCGCGAAGCGGUUCUCCGCCUCACACAGCAUGCCGUUCGCGACUCCCCGAUCGCCGCUGUUGACAUAAUGCUCCUGCUAACAGCCGCCCCGACCAGCAGGCUCACCAAGCUAGGUCCGGACUCGGAGGAUGACGUGGAAGCCUCCCUGCACUGCUGCCCUGCUGGCUCCUCCUGUGACCAGGGGGCCGGAGGCUGUGCCCACCGGGGCCAGCCCAGUAGGCCCGCCCAACGCUGGGACGCAGACCCCGUCCCCCUGGGACUCAGGCCCUGCCCGAAAUGAUGACCCUUAAUCCAGAGGAAUAUGAAUGUACGUGGGUAUAUGCUACCUCUUUUAGUGUGACAGCGAGUGAUGCUGGUUUAAAAUCUCACAUCGCUUUAACUUUUGGUGAAAUGGUCAUUAUUCCAAUGUUAAAGUGUCUUCUCCAGGAUCAGUUUGACUAAAUCUAAAGACUGGGGAUGACUUGAAGCGUUGAUUGCCUCCUCCUUUUGAGCUCAGAGUUUGGUUUUCACGUCCAUGCAAGUCCAUUUUGUUUACAAGAACGUAAAGAAACCCAAUCUUCUAUCUGGAUUUGACUCCUGGUCCCCCCCAAGACUGAGCUCCCCUCUGGCUCUGAGUACCGGAGCUCAUGACCCUGAGGCCUCAGGGUCGGGUCUGGUAGGGGUCCUUGAUUGGUGGUGUCUAGGUCUGGUGGGGGUCCUGGAUUGGUGGUGUCUAGGUCUGGUAGGGGUUCUGGAUUGAGGGUGUUUUAGGUCUGGUAAGGGUUUAGUUCUGGGGCGGGUGUGUGUGUGUGUGUGUGUGUGUGUGUGUGUGUGUGUGUGUGUGUGUGUGUGCGCGCGCAGCAGACACAGAUUCAACCCUUGGCUCAUCUUUUAGACUUUCCGGAGUUUAGUCUUUCAUUGAUUACCUUUUUUAAUAUCAAGAGUGAAUUGAAUUUGCCUAUAAAAUGUUUUUGGUGUGUUGUGAGUCUUCGAUGUAAAGGAGAAAUUGUUAGUGUUAGUUAUGGGAGUUACGGGGUAAUGAAGAAAGUGAUCGGAGACUAACCGGUCACAUGAUAUCCGUCACACUGUUGAUUCUUGAUUUAAAUAUACAUUUUUUGAAGAAUUUAUAAAAGGUUGUUGCAUUAAUAAAGUUCUGAAAUGCC
This is a long non-coding RNA of Gadus morhua (Atlantic cod), 1656 nucleotides long. RefSeq lists it as uncharacterized. NCBI's taxonomy places the organism in Eukaryota, Metazoa, Chordata, Actinopteri, Gadiformes, Gadidae. The record is from RefSeq and is a predicted model, not a curated record. The transcript has 2 exons.